This 500-nucleotide ribosomal RNA is filed under the name uncultured bacterium. RNAcentral's name for it is "partial 16S ribosomal RNA". It matches the Rfam family "Bacterial small subunit ribosomal RNA", at positions 30 to 523 of the family's 1533-position model. The record is from RNAcentral.
AUUGAACGCUGGCGGCAGGCCUAACACAUGCAAGUCGAGCGGAUGAAGGGAGCUUGCUCCUGGAUUCAGCGGCGGACGGGUGAGUAAUGCCUAGGAAUCUGCCUGGUAGUGGGGGGCAACGUUUCGAAAGGAACGCUAAUACCGCAUACGUCCUACGGGAGAAAGCAGGGGACCUUCGGGCCUUGCGCUAUCAGAUGAGCCUAGGUCGGAUUAGCUAGUUGGUGGGGUAAAGGCUAACCAAGGCGACGAUCCGUAACUGGUCUGAGAGGAUGAUCAGGCACACUGGAACUGAGACACGGUCCAGACUCCGACGGGAGGAAGCAGUGGGGAAUAUUGGACAAUGGGCGAAAGCCUGAUCCAGCCAUGCCGCGUGUGUGAAGAAGGUCUUCGGAUUGUAAAGCACUUUAAGUUGGGAGGAAGGGUUGUAGAUUAAUACUCUGCAAUUUUGACGUUACCGACAGAAUAAGCACCGGCUAACUCUGUGCCAGCAGCCGCCGUAA